CCCUUAGAUGUUCUGGGCUGCACGCGCGCUACACUGAUGCGAUCAACAAGUUUUUCCUAUGUCGAUAGACACGGGUAAUCUUUUGAACUCGCAUCGUGAUGGGGAUAGAUUAUUGUAAUUAUUAAUCUUCAACGAGGAAUUCCUAGUAGGUGCAAAUCAUCAGUUUGCAUCGAUUACGUCCCUGCCCUUUGUACACACCGCCCGUCGCUGCUACCGAUUGGUUGAUCUGGUGAAUUAUUCGGACUGCCGGCUGAAGGGGUUUCCUCAUCUGCCAGCGGAAAGUCUUGUUAACCCUCUCAACUAGAGGAAGCAGAAGUCGUAACA
Molecule: ribosomal RNA, 324 nt
Filed under: uncultured eukaryote
Lineage: Eukaryota
Description: partial 18S ribosomal RNA
Rfam family: Eukaryotic small subunit ribosomal RNA
Source: RNAcentral